Molecule: ribosomal RNA, 458 nt
Filed under: uncultured bacterium
Lineage: Bacteria
Description: partial 16S ribosomal RNA
Rfam family: Bacterial small subunit ribosomal RNA
Source: RNAcentral
CCUACGGGCGACAGCAGUGAGGAAUAUUGGUCAAUGGGCGAGAGCCUGAACCAGCCAAGUCGCGUGAGGGAGUACUGCCCUAUGGGUUGUAAACCUCUUUUGUCGGGGAGCAAAAGCCGGACGUGUCCGGCUGUGAGAGUACCCGAAGAAAAAGCAUCGGCUAACUCCGUGCCAGCAGCCGCGGUAAUACGGAGGAUGCGAGCGUUAUCCGGAUUUAUUGGGUUUAAAGGGUGCGCAGGCGGAGUUUUAAGUCAGCGGUAAAAUCGUGGGGCUCAACCCAAUCCAGCCGUUGAAACUGGGGAUCUAGAGUGUGCGAGAGGUAUGCGGAAUGCGUGGUGUAGCGGUGAAAUGCAUAGAUAUCACGCAGAACCCCGAUUGCGAAGGCAGCAUACCGGUGCACAACUGACGCUCAGGCACGAAAGCGUGGGUAUCGAACAGGAUUAGAUACCCCAGUAGUC